Molecule: non-coding RNA, 834 nt
Organism: Oryzias latipes (Japanese medaka)
Lineage: Eukaryota; Metazoa; Chordata; Actinopteri; Beloniformes; Adrianichthyidae
Source: RefSeq, a predicted model, not a curated record
AGCGACAUGUCAGUCAAGGGGAAGGGAGGCGGGACAUCCCUGAAAUCCAGAAGCUCAUUGGCUGCCGAAUAACACCGAGUCUAACGUCAACAGUACAGUUUAGAAUGUGCCGGGCCGUUGUUAUGCAUGCCAUAACAAAAAAGGCAGGAAUACUGAGGUAGCAACGAAGUGGAUGUCUACAACUUCUUGAAGAUGCCGGCCCCAAAGACGUCCCUGGUGUGAUGCAAAGGCUGUCCAGCUGGUUCACAGACAUCUCCUGUUAACUGAAAGAGAAGCAUUUAAAAUAGUUGUCCAUUUUGACCAUGAUUGCAUUGACAACAUGCCCAGGCACACUGUCUGCUUCCCAUUUCUCAGUGCCACCUGCACAAAAACAGUGACUUCUCUAUCAGCUCACCUCAAGUCUUUUGAGGAGUUUAAAAAACAGUUAUUUUAAUUUCUCUGAAUUGUGGUUCAGAAUUUCACAGAAUCUAAAACACUUGACUCUGUGUUUCAAAGAUCUUUGCAAAACCAUCAGUCUUUUGUACAAAACACAUUUAAUGGUCAAAGAUUAAAAAAUGAAGCUUUACAAAAUACCAGUGGUGAUUAUUAGCCAUUUAUUUUCUUAAGGGGUGUAGUAUUUUGUAAGGCAGAUGAGAUCUGUUCACAUUGUUAGUUUUUGUCACAUCCUGCUGAGAUGACAUGCAUAGAUCAGUACAUAAAUGUUAAUGUCUUGGCCAUGGUUUUCCGAUGUCCCACAAGGGUUGAACAGGUCUGAGAGGAGAGAGGACAAGCCACAGAGGGAACAACUCUAACAGUUUCCUGGGGCCUGUUUCAGAAAGAAGGUUAAGUGUAAAC